UCAUCGGGUCAGGCCUUGGGCCAACGUAGGCACUCUCGCAGUUCCUCCGCCUUCAGGAAGGUCUUUUUGGCAGGGGCCUUACGGGUGCGCGCUUCGGUCCUGGAGGCGUUAUCCUAGCCUCCUCUCCAUCAGCGCCACCCGUCUGGGGCCCGAUAGGAGGGAGAUUUCCCUCUGUCCCCCAGCCUUUGGACUGUCACCAAACAAGCCAUUCGUUCACCAAAUACUUAUUAAGCGCCUACCAUGUGUCUGGCAAGGGAGAUGUAACAGUGAGAAAAACUAGGUGUGGUCCAGGCCCUCCAGGGGCUCAGGGGCUCGUGGAAGAAGUAGACAUUGAAGUACUUAUCACACAAAUGAGUAUAAAAGUACAAUAGCGAUAUCUGCCACGAAGGCGAGCAGACAGAGCUAGCGGGGCUUGCAGGAGGAGUUUUGAUCUUGCAGGGAUAGGAAGGAGGACUUAGUUCCUGCGGGGUGGGCUUGGGGGUGGUGGUGAUAGAGACGUGGGGACAGAGUGGAAAACAACAAAAAUAUAAUUAUUUUAGUUCAAAGUUAUUGUGUCUUGAGUUGAAAGGCAGGGCAGUUAGCAACACAGUUCAGAUUUCAGUACUGCCCCUGAAAUCUGAACUGUGUUCAAAGUCUAAAACGUUUACCUUAGCAAAUCCCUCAUAAAACUCCAUUUGGAAGAGUCCCGAGAGCGAAUUUGUUAAGUAUACUUGCAAAAGGUAGAUGAGGAGACAGAUAAAAUCUUAUUACCUCUUUCAGAUGAGAGGCACUUGAGCCCUGCUCAGCUAUGAGAAUAAGAGAGGGGAAUUAAUUCUAAUUGAAUACACUUGUUCUCUUAUAGCUGUUGUUCCACACCAGAACCAAAUGAACGCAAGAUCUGACAAAGAAAAAAAGAGGUUCAUCUUUUAUUCCCCCAAACCCUUUCAUUUAAAUCAAGAGGGUGGGAUGUGGUUAUUGCUGUGUUUUUAGGCAGAAUCAACGGUUUCUGGGUCUGAGAUGUUGCAUACACCCUCUCAGUCCCUGUAUCCUGAGAUGGAGUCACCUGAGAAUCCACAGCAAGUCCUAACCAGGGAUGGGUCUGGGUGAUUAAGGAAGGUUGGCUUCAGAACUGGGCCAGGGGCACUGCUUUGCUUUUGCUGUUUUGAUCAGCUCUCUGCCUGCAGGAGACAAGGAAAACCAAUGGGAACAGCUGGGGAAACUGAAUUACAGAGCUUUUCUGCACUGAAUCAUCAGGAGCAAAUGCUAGAUCAGAUAGGGUCUCUCUCUCUGCCACUCAGGCCACAGUGCAGUUGACGCAGGGCAGGGGAGCCCCGAAGUGGAGCAUAGUGUGUCCAGAACUGGUGGGUUCUUGGUCUCACUGACUUCAAGAAUGAAGCCACAGACCCUCGGGGUGAGUGUCACAGUUCUUAAAGGCGGCUUGUCUGGAGUUUGUUCCUUCUGAUGCUCGGAUGUGUUCAGAGUUUCUUCCUUCUGGUGGGUUUGUGGUCUCGCUGGCUUCAGGAGUGAAACUGCAGACCUUCAUGGUGAGUGUUACAGCUCUUAAGGUGGCGUGUCUGGAGUUGUUUGUUCCUCCCGGUGGGUUCAUAGUCUCGCUGGCUUCAGGAGUGAAGCUGCAGACCUUCGAAGUGAGUGUUACAGCUCAUAAAGGCAACGUGGACCCCAAGAGUGAGCAGCAGAAAGAUUUAUUGCAAAGAGCAAAAGAACAAAGCUUCCACAGUGUGGAAAGGGACCCCAGAGGGUUGCCACUGCUGGCUGGGGCAGCCUGCUUUUAUUCCCUUAUCUGGCCCCACCCACAUCCUGCUGAUUGGUCCAUUUUACAGAGAGCCGAUUGGUCUGUUUUACAGAGAGCUGAUUGGUCUGUUUUGACAGGGUGCUGAUUGGUGCGUUUACAAUCCCUGAGCUAGACACAAAAGUUCUCCAAGUCCCUACUAGAUUAGCUAGACACAGAGUGUCAAUUAGUGCAUUCACAAACCCUGAGCUAGACACAGGGUGCUGAUUGGUGUGUUUACAAACCUUGAGCUAGAUACAGAGUGUGGAUUGGUGUAUUUACAAUCCCUUAGCUAGACAUAAAGAUUCUCAAAGUCCCCACCAGACUCAGGAGCCCAGCUGGCUUCACCAAGUGGAUCCCUCACGGGGGCCGCAGGUGGAGCUGCCUUCCAGUCCUGCGCCCUGUGCUGGCACUCCUCAGCCCUUGGGUGGUCGAUGGGACUGGGCGCCCUGGAGCAGGGGGCAGUGUCCAUUGGGGAGGCUUGGCACUCAUCGGGGAGGCUCAGGCCACGAAGGAGCCCACGAGGGUUGGGGGGAGGCUCAGGCAUGGCAGGCUGCAUGUCCCGAGCCCUGCCCUGCAGGGAAGCAGCUAAGGCCCUGCGAGAAAUUGAGCAAAGCAGCUGCUGGCCCAGGUGCUAAGCCCCUCACUGCCUGGGUCCAGUGGGGUGGCAGGCCAGUCUGAGUGCAGGGCCCAGUGAGCCCAUGCCCACCCGGAACUCACGCUGGCCUGCAAGCACCACCCCCAGCCCCGGUUCCUGCCAGCACGUCUCCCUCUACACCUCCCCGCAAGCUGAGGGUGCGGGCUCCAGCCUCGGCCAGCCCAGGAAGGGGCUCCCACAGUGCAGCGGCAGGCUGAAGGGCUCCACAAGUGCCGCCGAAGUGGGAGCCCAGGCAGAGGAGGCGCCGAGAGUGAGUUCGAAGGCUGCCAGCAUGCUGUCACCUCUCAAUAGCACGUGAGGGUUCUUGUCUUUACCCAGGAAAGAAUUCAAGGGCAAGCCGGAGGUUUAGAAGAAAACAGCUUUAUUGAAGAGGCAGGAUUAGAGCCCUGUGACUGCUCCUGUAGGGCAGGGUUACCCUGGAGGCAGAGAGUAGCGGCAGAGAGUUUGCAAUCACAUUUAUACUCACUUUUAAUUGCAUGCAGAUUAAAGGGCAGUUUAUGCAGGAAUUUCUAGAAAAUGGGUAGUAACUUUUGAGUCAUUGGGUCAUUUCCAUGGAAAGGGGCAGUAACUCCCGGGUGUUACCUUGACAAUAGUAAACUCACAUGGCACACUGGUGGGCAUGUCUGAUGGAAAGCUGCUUCUGCCCCAGCCCUGUUUUAGCUAGUCCUCAAUUUGGUCUGGUGUCCAAGCCCUGCCUGUGGAGUCAAGUCCUGCCUCCUAUCUCACAGUGGCGUGAUCAUGGCUCACUGCAGACUCAACACCCCCGGGCUCAAGCAGU
Long non-coding RNA from Homo sapiens (human), 3204 nucleotides. RefSeq lists it as uncharacterized. NCBI's taxonomy places the organism in Eukaryota, Metazoa, Chordata, Mammalia, Primates, Hominidae. The transcript has 3 exons. The record is from RefSeq and is a predicted model, not a curated record.